GUAAUACCCCCAGAGAAUGUCAUAGGUCACAUAAGUAGGGAGGAGGGUGUUCAUCUAUACAACUCCUGGAGAAGUCAGAGUGCAGAGUUGUUAGACGGUUAGAGAGAAAAUAGUUAGAGAAGUAGAGUUGCCCCUAGCUAGCGCCUCUGCUCCCUCCCAUCCUGGCAGGCUAGAGCAUAUCCAUAUGACUAGCCACCAAUGCAAGCAGACUGCACUAUGACCCAGAGAGGCAUGUCUGACCUCGGACAGCGGUCAGAGAGCGUCUUCCGAUUAGCUGGUUUCUCUGCCAGUCGGGUACAUCAGGAUUCUUAUAAGGCCACCGAGCAGGUAAAGACAGGGAUCUACUUUCUGGUCAAACUCAUAACACGGGUCACUAUAGCUUAGCUACCUACUUUGGUAUUCACAACAACUAACUCCAGAGGGGUCCCACCAAACUCUUCAAGUAGCUCGUGGAUGCAAUGCCGUGUACGUCAGCCAUGGUCUUAGGAUAGAGCUACCAUCUGCAGAAACCAAGCUAAUGUGGCCCACUAUAGGGCACCUCAUCUAAGAUUAGUACCAAACCUGGCUGUAGAAAACAAAGAAAGAUCAACACAGAAAUUAAGUCGAAGGGUUAUGUGCUAGGACAGCCCACCAGGUUAUUAGUCUGUGUGGGCUGACGCUCUCAGGCGGUCUAGAGGCGAGUCCUUAAGAGAUUAGGAUCUCCAGGGAAAAGUCAGGAGAGCCAGAAAUGUAGGUUUUGGGUCAUCCGCAGGGUGAGGGUAGAGAUGGCAUGGUCAUUAGGGCUAUAUGAAGCUGGGCUUGACUUCUUGCUCUGCCACUUACUAGCUAAAUAUCUAAGUAGUAAAGUUCCUUUUCCUGGCUAAACCUCAAGUUCAUCAUCUGCAAAACCAUCUACUUUUUAGGUUGAUCAAAUGUGAAAUGAGGUCAUUCUUUCUAGGUCCCUGAAGCCACAAGAAUAAGUGAGAUCGUCUCCCCCACUCCCAGGAAAGGCUUCAGAAUAAGCAGGAAAAGACGGAAAGAUCUAACGAUACAAAAAGAUGGAGGAAUUUGGAUCCACCAUCACCCACAUUCUAAUUCUGGAUUCACCAUUUACUAGCUCUAUGAACUUCACACACAAGUGAAAAGAAGGAAAGGAUGAUGAAGCGCGGGGCAGGAAAGAACAAGAAAGUCAACAGUGUAAGAAGAACUAGCACCUCUUUUAUUCUAAUGAGAUAUUACUAUGACUUUUGGCCGAUUAAACUGUGAACAUUUGUUUUUAAGUGAGUUUUUCCACAUUAGUCUACUGGACUGAGAGCCACUGAAGCAGAGCUUUUCAAAUCUGAAAGUCUAUCAGAAUUACCUGGGGGAGCUUGUUAACAUGCACAGUCCUGCCCCUUCUUCCCCAGAUCCUGACUCAGUAGGUCUAGGGUGAGGCCCAUGAUUUUGCAUUUCUAACAAGUGCCCAGGUAAUACUUUGUUACUGGUCUUCAUACCACACCUCAGCGCUGCACUAAACGGCAGGAUCUAUGCCUCAAGCAGUUACACCUUUAAUAAGCGCCCAGUAUGUUCAACACCCUACAGUAGCUACUUAGAGAAGAAGGAACAUAAUCUGUUUUCAACAAGCUCAUUGUCUUGCAGGAGCAAAAAAGAUACCUACAGAACUUUUUUCAUCUCUUAUCAACUUGAAAUUUAUUAUGGAGAAAAUUCUCAUCAUAAUGCAAAGAUGAUAAUAAUAGUACCCACUUCAUAGCAUGAUUGAGAAGAUUAAAUAAGAUCAUAUAGGGAAGCCAUGGAAUAUAAAGAAUUUAUUUUGAACAAUGCCUGGCACAUAGUAGAUGUUGAAAUCUUGGCCCUUGAGGUGGGGUAUGGGAAAGGGUAAGCGAGAGCUCACAGUCAUUGGUGGGAUUCUCAAGAAUCAGUCAAGCAAUAGGACCAGGAGUCACUCACAUGCGGCUGUGGUGGGCUCACUGAUACCCACAACAGGCAGUGGAUGAGGAAACCAAAGCACUGUUUCAGAUAGGAGUAUAAAGUUUCCCCAAACCAAGAGGUGGAAAGCACAUCUUGAAAAUUCAGAGACAAAACUUAGCAGACAAAAGGAAACAGAAAUGAUUGAAAGAAAGCAAAAUAUGUACUCUGGGCAACUCCCAGAAACCCCACUGACUGCAGCCUACUCUCAUGCAGCAACUGCAACAUGAAAUGGAGUCGGAUUGUCUGCUAUUAAAAGUUAGGCACUAGAUGAACUGAGUAAAUCCAUGAUCAAGAGUGGAAGCUGGUGGAAAUUAUGUUUAAUCACCAAAAGCAAUUCUGUUUUCCCUUUCAAAGCCUUUAUUUCUACAGAAGCAAUUCUCAGCCUUGACUGCACAUUGGAAUCACCUAGAGAGCCUGAAAAACUACUGAUGAUUAGAUCUCGCCUCCAGAGAUUCUGAUUUAAUUGGUCAGGGUGUAGCCAGGGCACAGGGAUGUUUAAAGUCUUCUCUAGUGAUUCUAAUGUCCAGCCAACAUUGAGAACCACUGUUAAAGUCUUCAUGACUCUUCCAGGCUCAGCUGCUAUGAAGAAAAAAAAAUUCAAAGACUCCACUAUGUAAGAAUUUCUAAAUAGGUGUCAAAAAUAAUUAAUGCUAUAAAAGGUCAAAAGAAAGUUUGUUAGGAAAGUUUCUUUGGGGAGAGUUAUUCUGUAACUCCUAUCCCCAGAAUGUAGGUGUAGGGAAUGCCUCCUUCUUCCCCUUAGUUAAGAGAGGGGGGCUUCAGGGGCUGGCCCCGUGGCUGAGCGGUUAGGUUCACACACUCUGCUGCAGGCAGCCCAGUGUUUCGUUGGUUCGAAUCCUGGGCGUGGACAUGGCACUGCUCAUCAAACCAUGCUGAGGCGGCGUCCCACAUGCCACAACUAGAAGGACCCACAACGAAGAAUAUACAACUAUGUACCGGGGGGCUUUGGGGAAAAAAAGGAAAAAAAUAAAGUCUUAAAAAAAAAAUAGAGGGGGGGGCUUCAGCAGGACUGCUUAGAGAGUUUUAUAUCAUCUGACAUAGCCAGGGAGACACAGUGGCUUGGUGUCUGACCAGUGGAAAAGUUUAAAGGCAGGAAGAAAUUUACUAACUGCUCCAAUGUUAAGAGGCAAGGAGAGGUAAACUGCUUUGGGAUGGGCCUGCACUUCCGGUUUGUCAGGACAAAGGAUCCCUAAGCAGAUUGCUCAGAAGAUGCAAAUUUGCAUGCCCUAGAAGCUCAUUCUCUCCACUCUUUCAGCAGCUUAGCAAAGAGCUGGCCUACCAGGUCUGCGUUCACUCAAAAGGAAACAGGCUAAUAAAAACAGCUGAUCUUGGAAGGUUUCAUCCUUCUAUUUUAUCUUUUUACUUAUAUCUUUCAUCUUUUUGUUUCCUAAAAGUAAGAGAAAUUUCAUGAGAAUGCCUACAUUUUCAAGUAGAAGCAAGGAAAGCACCUGCCCUCUGAAUACAUUUAAAGAGAGAGUGGAUGUCAAGAAAGAAAGAGAGUGAUGUCAGCAAAAUGGCAUACUAGGAGGUCCCAGCCCUUGUCCCCCUGCCAAAAAAAAAAAAAAAAAAAAAAAACAAGAAACAAUUUAACAACUAUCCAUGGAGGAAAAUAGCUGUGGGAAAGCUCCCGAUUACAAUUAAGAAGCUAUAGCAACCCAGUUGAACACAAAACCAAGGAUGGCCACACAGAAAAGGUAGGAAUCAUUUUACCUGCAUCAUUCCCCCCAAUUUCUAGGCCAGCACAGCUCAGUGCCAAGAGGAAUCCCCUACACUGUGAGUUCCUCCAAAGGGUAAAAGGCGAGCAAAAGGACCCCAGCAGCCCACACUGCCACUUUGGAUCCCCACAACUUUCACUACUGAGGACCUCCACAGUCUUAGCCAAUGGAGAUCUUAGCUGCUGGAGCUGCCAGGAGCCCAUGCCAAUGAACCCUGCCCCCCAAAGUGGCCCCAUUGUGCCCUCCCUACAGCCCUGUUGCCACCACAGGUACACUCGCUCACUCCAGAUCUGGAACUGCCACACAACCACCAGACCCAGUGGCACCAUGAACCCACUGGAACUCAGAACAUAUCCCCAGAAUGGGCAUCACUGCAUGUCCCCAGAUGUGGCACUAGUUGCAGCACCACCACACACCCCACCCAGCUGGCACCCUUGUGCUCACCCACAGCUGAAGGUCUUUUCUUACUGACACCAGUCUAUAAAGUCUGGAAGAGGUGGCUGCUUCUUCAAGUGUGCAGACAGAAACACAAGGCUACAAGGAAUGCAAAAAGUCAGUGAAACAUGACACAAAGGAACACAGCAAAUUUUCAGUAACUGACCCCAAAGAAAUGGAGAUCUAUGAAUUACCUGACAGAGAAUUUAAAAAUAAUUGUUUUAGAGAAGUUCAGUGAGCUACAAGAGAACACAGAUAGACAACUCAACAAAAUCAGGAAAACAAUAUAUGAACAAAAC
RNAcentral lists this long non-coding RNA (4414 nucleotides) under Equus caballus (horse). RNAcentral's name for it is "lncRNA (ENSECAG00000052604.1)". The record is from RNAcentral. Lineage: Eukaryota; Metazoa; Chordata; Mammalia; Perissodactyla; Equidae.